Molecule: ribosomal RNA, 806 nt
Filed under: Vibrio alginolyticus
Lineage: Bacteria; Pseudomonadati; Pseudomonadota; Gammaproteobacteria; Vibrionales; Vibrionaceae
Also listed under: 1 other name
Description: partial 23S ribosomal RNA
Rfam family: Bacterial large subunit ribosomal RNA
Source: RNAcentral
CCCGUAGUUGACGACGUGUGUUCAGUGAAAUCGAGUAGGGCGGGACACGUGAUAUCCUGUCUGAAUAUGGGGGGACCAUCCUCCAAGGCUAAAUACUACUGACUGACCGAUAGUGAACCAGUACCGUGAGGGAAAGGCGAAAAGAACCCCUGUGAGGGGAGUGAAAUAGAACCUGAAACCGUGUACGUACAAGCAGUAGGAGCAGGCUUGUCCUGUGACUGCGUACCUUUUGUAUAAUGGGUCAGCGACUUAUAUUCAGUGGCAAGGUUAACCAUCUAGGGGAGCCGUAGGGAAACCGAGUCUUAACUGGGCGUUCAGUCUCUGGAUAUAGACCCGAAACCAGGUGAUCUAGCCAUGGGCAGGUUGAAGGUUGAGUAACAUCAACUGGAGGACCGAACCGACUAAUGUUGAAAAAUUAGCGGAUGACUUGUGGCUAGGGGUGAAAGGCCAAUCAAACCUGGAGAUAGCUGGUUCUCCCCGAAAGCUAUUUAGGUAGCGCCUCGGACGAAUACUACUGGGGGUAGAGCACUGUUAAGGCUAGGGGGUCAUCCCGACUUACCAACCCUUUGCAAACUCCGAAUACCAGUAAGUACUAUCCGGGAGACACACGGCGGGUGCUAACGUCCGUCGUGGAGAGGGAAACAACCCAGACCGCCAGCUAAGGUCCCAAAUUACUACUAAGUGGGAAACGAUGUGGGAAGGCUCAGACAGCCAGGAUGUUGGCUUAGAAGCAGCCAUCAUUUAAAGAAAGCGUAAUAGCUCACUGGUCGAGUCGGCCUGCGCGGAAGAUGUAACGGGGCUAAGUA